CAAUAGCGUAUAUUUAAGUUGCUGCAGUUAAAAAGCUCGUAGUUGGAUUUCGGGUGGGAAUGGCCGGUCCGCCGUUUCGGUGUGCACUUGCUACGCCCACCUUGCUGCCGGGGACGUGCUCUUGAGUUCACGCUCGGGACACGGAGUCGGCGAGGUUACUUUGAGUAAAUUAGAGUGUUCAAAGCAGGCCUACGCUCUGAAUACAUUAGCAUGGAAUAACACGAUAGGACUCUGGCCUAUCUUGUUGGUCUGUAGGACCGGAGUAAUGAUUAAGAGGAACAGUUGGGGGCAUUCGUAUUCAGUUGUCAGAGGUGAAAUUCUUGGAUUUACGGAAGACGAACAACUGCGAAAGCAUUUGCCAAGGAUGUUUUCAUUAA
RNAcentral lists this ribosomal RNA (377 nucleotides) under uncultured eukaryote. RNAcentral describes it as "partial 18S ribosomal RNA". It matches the Rfam family "Eukaryotic small subunit ribosomal RNA", at positions 592 to 976 of the family's 1831-position model. The record is from RNAcentral.